Cladobotryum mycophilum is the source of this 118-nucleotide non-coding RNA. Lineage: Eukaryota; Fungi; Ascomycota; Sordariomycetes; Hypocreales; Hypocreaceae. The record is from the annotation of a GenBank genome assembly.
CGACAGAGACAGGAUUCGAACCUGCGAACGCGAACGUAUUUGAUAUCGAGCGUUUGAAGGUGCGUUAGACGCUCCUUCUGCUUCAAGUCAAACUCCAUAACCACUCGGACACUCUGUC